RNAcentral lists this small RNA (92 nucleotides) under Marmota monax (woodchuck). Lineage: Eukaryota; Metazoa; Chordata; Mammalia; Rodentia; Sciuridae. The record is from RNAcentral.
GCCAGGUAUGAUGGCACAUACCUGUAAUCCCAGCAACUCGGGAGGCAGAGGCAGGAGGCCAGAGUUGGCAGUUUAAUGAGACCCUGUCUCCA